This 1628-nucleotide long non-coding RNA is filed under the name Gossypium barbadense (sea-island cotton). Its description in RNAcentral is "long non-coding RNA (GBAR_LNC002311)". Lineage: Eukaryota; Viridiplantae; Streptophyta; Magnoliopsida; Malvales; Malvaceae. The record is from RNAcentral.
UACUCAGGUAUGUAUGUGAUGUUUGAGUCAAGGUUUGAGAAGUACAAGUUGCACUCCAAGAAAGAAGAGGAGGAGAAGAAUUUGGUGUCCAGAAAGGAAGUCUUCAAAGCCGUUCUUUGCCAUCAAGUCAUGUCAAUUGCUAUUAACCUCUUCACGUAUGCGGUAUGAGUAGCAAUUAAUGGCUUUUCUUUUUCUUUUCCUUUCUUUUGAUGCAAUUAUAAACAAAAUUUUUUCUUCUUUUUUAUUGUAAGUUUGUAACUUUCAAGGAUCAGAUAAAAUAUCAGAGCACCACCAUUUUCUAUUUGUAUCAGAACUUGGAACUUAAUUUGUUUUGGUUGCAGGUAACAAGAGAAAAAGAUGGUGAGGCAUCUCCAAAGAAAUCACUAACCUUGCUUCUUCUAGCCAAGCAAUUGGUGAUAGCAAUGGUGGUGAUAGAUACAUGGUCGUUUUUUGUACAUUGGUACUUGCAUCAGAACAAGUUUUUAUACAAACACCUUCAUGUUCCGCAUCACCGGCUGGUUGUUCCCUAUUCAUUUGGAGGACAGUAUAUGCAUCCAAUUGAGGGGUUCUUGGACACCAUGGGCGGAACAUUAGCUGUACUCCUCUCCGGCAUGUCUCCUCGGACUGCCAUGUUUUUCUCCUCCUUUACCAUCCUUAAAUUAGUGGAUGAUCAUUGCGGGAUGAAGCUUCCCGGAAACCCCUUUUACCUCUUUUUUAACAACAAUUCGGCAUACCAUGAUGUCCACCAUCAGCUUUAUGGUACCAAAUACAACUUCUCUGUCUACUUUGACAUAUGGGACAGAAUUCUAGGAACCUAUAUGCCUUAUUCACUUGAGAAGAGACCUGAUGGCGGCCUUGAAGUACGACGUGCUGAUCAAGAACACAAGAAGGAUUGAUUGAUUAAUUACUUGAUUAAUCAGCCAAUUAUGAUAACUAGUGAGCAUGGAUUGAUGAAUGUUCCAUUAGGUUUUAUAUAUGUAUCUAAUGUGUAUGUAUUAUGUGUACUACUAUGCUUCACUAGGAGUAAAGGCAAAUCUGGUGUGAAACUAAGUCAAUUAUGAUGACUAGUGAGCAUGGAUAUUGAUGAAUGUUCCAUUAGUUUUUAUAUAUAAUAUCUAUAUGUAUUCUAUAUAUUUCUCUGCUUCACUGGCAAUAAAGGCAAAUCUGGUAUUGAACUAAAUAUUAUGAAUAAAACUUGAAGCUUAUAUUCUACAAAUGGUUAACUCAUUUCUUUUAGCAGCUUGAUUUUGGCAUUGUUUUUAUCUCUAUCCCAAACAUCUACAAAGUUAAACCUUUUAAAUAUCAUCGAAGUUAGUGUAUUUUAUUAGAUGUAUGCCAAUUCACAGCUCGAAUCUGAUCAAAUCGAACUGGUGAUUUUUUUUUUUUUUUUGGGGGGGGGGGAGUGGGUGGGUACAAAUAAAGAGUUCAAAGACAAAUUAGACUAAAUACCAGCACCUAGAGUGAAGCAGCAUCCUUCUGUAACAUAGGUCAAAUAGCAGCAGGAGGCUCGUGGCGAUGCUGGAAGCCUGUUCCUGAGUAAAUCAUAACGUCAAACAUUAAAAAUUAUUUGGCAGAAAAUUUUUUUUGAAGAGUAAACAAAUUUCUUUUUAUUAUUAUCUAUUUCUGGC